This 21-nucleotide unclassified non-coding RNA is filed under the name Chlamydomonas reinhardtii. RNAcentral describes it as "small RNA Cre_2989". Lineage: Eukaryota; Viridiplantae; Chlorophyta; Chlorophyceae; Chlamydomonadales; Chlamydomonadaceae. The record is from RNAcentral.
UGCAACCUUGUGGUCGUGGGU